This 256-nucleotide ribosomal RNA is filed under the name uncultured bacterium. RNAcentral describes it as "partial 16S ribosomal RNA". It matches the Rfam family "Bacterial small subunit ribosomal RNA", at positions 522 to 777 of the family's 1533-position model. The record is from RNAcentral.
GACAGGAGGGUGCAAACGUUGUUCGGAAUUACUGGGCGUAAAGCGCGUGUAGGCGGCCAUCUAAGUCGGGCGUGAAAUCCCACGGCUCAACCGUGGAAGUGCACUCGAAACUGGAUGGCUAGAGUCCUGGAGAGGAAGGUGGAAUGCUUGGUGUAGAGGUGAAAUUCGUAGAUAUCAAGCGGAACACCGGUGGCGAAGGCGGCCUUCUGGACAGUGACGUGACGCUGAGACGCGAAAGCGUGGGGAGCAAACAGGG